Molecule: ribosomal RNA, 36 nt
Filed under: Potamon aff. algeriense
Lineage: Eukaryota; Metazoa; Arthropoda; Malacostraca; Decapoda; Potamidae
Description: partial large subunit ribosomal RNA
Source: RNAcentral
UACGAAAGGAGUAAAUAACUAAAAUAUUUUUGUAUA